RNAcentral lists this transfer RNA (73 nucleotides) under Legionella fallonii LLAP-10. It matches the Rfam family "tRNA". From Rfam's summary of the family: Transfer RNA (tRNA) molecules are approximately 80 nucleotides in length. Their secondary structure includes four short double-helical elements and three loops (D, anti-codon, and T loops). Further hydrogen bonds mediate the characteristic L-shaped molecular structure. tRNAs have two regions of fundamental functional importance: the anti-codon, which is responsible for specific mRNA codon recognition, and the 3' end, to which the tRNAs corresponding amino acid is attached (by aminoacyl-tRNA synthetases). tRNAs cope with the degeneracy of the genetic code in two manners: having more than one tRNA (with a specific anti-codon) for a particular amino acid; and 'wobble' base-pairing, i.e. permitting non-standard base-pairing at the 3rd anti-codon position. Lineage: Bacteria; Pseudomonadati; Pseudomonadota; Gammaproteobacteria; Legionellales; Legionellaceae. The record is from Rfam by way of RNAcentral.
GAGCCCAUAGCUCAAUGGGUCAGAGCAGCGGAUUCAUAAUCCGAUGACCCAGGUUCGAAUCCUGGUGGGCUCG